This 543-nucleotide ribosomal RNA is filed under the name Triticum aestivum (bread wheat). RNAcentral's name for it is "partial small subunit ribosomal RNA". The record is from RNAcentral. Lineage: Eukaryota; Viridiplantae; Streptophyta; Magnoliopsida; Poales; Poaceae.
AUGUACGUGGAUGCGUGGAAAACCAACAUCCCAGAAUUCAAGAAUCCCUUUGCUCCAUCGAGGAUACCAUCACAGCGGAUCCGUUCGCCGCCGCUGAUCCCUUCGCCGACGCCGAUCUCGUUGCUACGUCGACGGCAACCAUUUGACGCCGCCGAACCCCUUGCCAUCGAGUGUCUCCUCCAUUAUGAGUGCAAGCAACAGGAGGUGUCCUCUUGGCACAACGACGUCAACUGGUCACUCCUUCAUCGACAGGUUCUUGCGCUUGGUGGAUUACUUCCACGGUUCCACAGUGGGAGGGGACACUCAAGCUACGGUUCAGGCAAUGUCUCCACCCACUCGCAAGUUCAACUACAUUGGCUGAGUGCAAGCAGGAUCUGUAGUAAUACUGAGUACUUACAAACUCAGAAAGCUCUGUCUACAUCUGCACAAGGUAGAAUCACAAUGAACUUGGCCCUUGAUUAUUUUUGUCAUGAGUUGUAUUUCAGUCGAUUGACCUGUGGUCGGAAGUGUGCCUUGUAUACCACACCUUUGAAACUUUGUUAG